RNAcentral lists this ribosomal RNA (246 nucleotides) under uncultured bacterium. RNAcentral's name for it is "partial 16S ribosomal RNA". It matches the Rfam family "Bacterial small subunit ribosomal RNA", at positions 15 to 254 of the family's 1533-position model. The record is from RNAcentral.
GAUCCUGGCUCAGGACGAACGCUGGCGGCGCGCCUAACACAUGCAAGUCGAACGGAGUCAAGAGGAGCUUGCUUUUAUUGACUUAGUGGCGAACGGGUGAGUAACGCGUGAGUAACCUGCCCUGGAGUGGGGGACAACAGUUGGAAACGACUGCUAAUACCGCAUAAGCCCACGAUCCGGCAUCGGAUUGAGGGAAAAGGAUUUAUUCGCUUCAGGAUGGACUCGCGUCCAAUUAGCUAGUUGGUG